UACGGAGGGUGCAAGCGUUGUCCGGAUUUAUUGGGUUUAAAGGGUGCGUAGGCGGCCAAUUAAGUCAGUGGUGAAAGCCCACAGCUCAACUGUGGAACUGCCAUUGAUACUGGUUGGCUUGAGUCCGGUCGAGGCGGGCGGAACUGGUGGUGUAGCGGUGAAACGCAUAGAUACCACCAAGAACUCCGAUUGCGAAGGCAGCUCGCUGGGCCUGUGACUGACGCUGAGGCACGAAAGCAUGGGGAGCAAACAGG
RNAcentral lists this unclassified non-coding RNA (254 nucleotides) under uncultured Hymenobacteraceae bacterium. RNAcentral's name for it is "contains 16S-23S intergenic spacer region". It matches the Rfam family "Bacterial small subunit ribosomal RNA", at positions 524 to 776 of the family's 1533-position model. The record is from RNAcentral. Lineage: Bacteria; Pseudomonadati; Bacteroidota; Cytophagia; Cytophagales; Hymenobacteraceae.